Molecule: long non-coding RNA, 832 nt
Organism: Drosophila guanche
Lineage: Eukaryota; Metazoa; Arthropoda; Insecta; Diptera; Drosophilidae
Exons: 3
Source: RefSeq, a predicted model, not a curated record
CGAUCAUCUGGAUGCGGGAAAGAUGAAAUUCCUUGUUCAUUGACGUCCAGAAUGCAGGACCAAGGCGUGGCCACAGGCACAAUCUGACAAUGUGCAUCACAAGAUAGUUGCUGAUGCGGCCGUCAGAUGCAUUCAGAUAAGGCUCGCCCGCACAGCUGAUGGCAUGGAGCUCGUUGGUGUCGCUGCCAUUUAGGGUGGGAUAGCGCACCUCAUCCUCUUCGAUAUCGUCGGCAGAGUCGAAAUUCUCCUCAUUAAUGGUGGAUAUCACCAUUGUGUGCGACAUUUUCUGGCUUUAAGUUGGCCAGCGACGAGUAUCAUUUGCUUGGAUGGAGAAGAGUGCCGUUUCACCGGCAGUGACUUUUGGCCAAGGUCUUCAGGACUGUGGAUCCUCCGGCAAGGACACCUCGCCGCCGUUGCGAUGUAAGUCCAACCACUCAUCGGAGCUCAGAGGCAGAACCUCAGUGCCAUUGAGACCGGCAAAGGCGCGAUCGAUUCACAUAAGAUUGAUUAGUCCCAGUGAAGGAGCUUAAAGGAGUGCCGAAUGUUACUCUUCACCAGAUUGGCCUGCGAACCUGCAAAAUAAAGUUAAAGGAUCGUGUACCUCUUUGGAAUUCAUCUGGAUAGCACAAGCAGAAUAGCCACCUCGAUUAAGUUACAACCCUAGGUCGAGCCUUGGCCAGGCCAUUAGCUCGGGCCAGCACCAUUGCACCGUCCUCGUGUCUGGUGAAAUUUCUGGAAGCUUCCUACUGACAAAUUGACGCACAAGACAUGGAGAGUACAUGUUAUAACGAGAAGGGACGUGUGAGACGCUUCUUACGCGUCACAACUUUUA